AAUAUUUCGGCAUAUAAAAAUGAUGGCAGUAAGCAAGAUGUCAAAGACUUUGAACCAAGGUCCAACAUUUCAGCUUAUGGAGACAAUGACAUUGAUGUAAAAGAAAAGAAUGGAGCCAUUAAAGAUUUUGAACCUAGACCUAAUAUUUCAGCUUAUGGAGAAAAUGUCAUUGAUGCUGAUGAAAAGAAGAAACCAGUCAAAGAUUUUGAACCAAGACCCAAUAUUUCAGCUUAUGGAGACAAUGACAUUGAUGUUAAGGAAAAUAAGGGAGCCACCAACGAUUUUGAGCCAAGACCCAACAUUUCAGCUUAUGGAGACAAUGUCAUUGAUGAUAAUAAAAUGAAGAAACCAGUUGAAUAUUUCCAACCAAGACCAAACAUUUCAGCUUAUGGAGAAAAUGACAUUGAUGUUAAAAAAAGUAAAGAUUUUGAACCAAGACCCAACAUUUCAGCUUUUGGAGACAAUGACAUUGAUGUUAAUGAAAAGAAGGGAGAUACUAAAGAUUUCGAACCAAGACCAAAUAUUUCAGCUUAUGGAGACAAUGCCAUUGAUGAUGAUGAAAUGAAGAAACCAAUUAAAGAUUUUAAACCAAAACCAAACAUUUCGGCUUAUGGAGACAAUGUCAUUGAUGCUGAUGAAAUGAAGAAACCAGUCGAAGGUUUUGAACCAAGACCAAACAUUUCAACUUAUGGAGACAAUGUCAUUGAUGUUGAUGAAAUGAAGAAACAACAAGUCAAAGAUUUUGAACCAAGAACCAACAUUUCAGCUUAUGGAGACAAUGACAUUGAUGUUAAAGAAAAGAAGGGAGUCACCAACGAUUUUGAGCCAAGACCCAACAUUUCAGCUUAUGGAGACAAUGUCAUUGAUGCUAAUAAAAUGAAGAAACCAGUUGACGAUUUCCAACCAAGACCAACUAUUUCAGCUUAUGGAGACAAUGCCAUUGAUAAUAGUAAAACGAAUGAAGUCAUCAAAGAUUUUGAAUCAAGACCCAACAUUUCAGCUUACGGUAACAAUGAAGUUGACACUAAGAAAAAAGAAAAAGCUGCCAAAGAUUUUGAACAAAGACCCAUUAUUUCAGCUUAGGAAGACAACAUCAUUGAUGCUGAGAAAGAUGACGAGUUCACAAAGGAUUUUGAACGCAUGCCAAGAGUCACUAAAUAUGAUGCAUAACUUUAAUAAUUAAAAUAAAAUGCUAUUUCAAUUUCUGAUGUAAUACACUUAAUAAGUCAUUGCUACUUUAUGUUCAAUGAUAUUUAGUAUAUGUAUUAUGCAUUAAGCUUUUUGAAUGAAGGAACUUCUCCUUGUUUACUGAUGACAGUCAGUCAUUCACUAUUUUUAGAGUCUUUUUAUGAUAUUUUUGAGUUCACAAGCAAUCUUAAGCAACAAGAAAAGAAAGAAAAGUAAGAAAAAACUGAAGAAACUGAAAAGUGGGCAUCGUGUCACGAUUACUAAAAAGCGUGUCACGAUUUGGAACAUAGGAUGAGUUCAUUCAAGAUUGGUUAAAACGUGUCACGAUGGCUAUUUCGUGACACGAUUUUAAGAACAUGUGGCAAGAGAAAAUAUGAUCAAAAAGAGCAAAACAGGAGGUGUCAAGAAGUAAUGGAAUUAAGAAUUCCUAUUAAUUAAUGGGCUAUGUUGAUCCAAGAGGAGAAAAACGUGAUUAAUUGGAAAGGCAGCUGGGUUAGAUGAACCUAUAUAAAGAAGCAACAAGAGAGCUGCAAAUUAUCUUUCAAAAAAAAAAGAGAGAGCUGCAAAUUAUUCAAGAUGGUGACAUCACGGUUACGGCAAGAAUCACGUUUGGCACUUGUUGGAGAAGAAAAACGGGAACAAGCAUAUCACUAAGGAAGCAACAACGGCAAUUGAAAGAAAAUUGAGGAGCACUGUCGACAACGACUAAACUUUAUUGGUUUAAUUUCUUCUUUAUGUUGUUUGCUUAUUUGAUUAUGUCUAGCUAAACAUGGUUAGUCUAGGAAUGUAUAAUCCUUUACUAGUGAUAUUAGGUUAACGUGCUUAAAACCUUCAAAGAAUAUUAGCUCACCUAAGGAAUUAGGGACUGUAAUAUGAGAAGAGGGUCCUAACUCAAGGGAUGAAUUAUGACUAUUUUGUUAACUAUCGUGGAACUAGAAAAUCAUUCAUAAGAAUAGGUGCAGUAUACCCAUUUGGGGAACAUUGAUGACUCGAAAGACCUAGUCUCAUCUCUCCAUAUAUAGUUUCCAAAACUAUCUUUAUUUUCUGUUUAUUUAAUUUUAUGCAAUCAAAUCAAAUCUACAAACAAAAUAAUUUUUACAUCCUAAAUAUUUACUUUAUUGCUAAAUUGAGAUUAAUACAUUCUUCGUAGAUACGAACUUAUUUUAUUACUUCGAUGCAUGUUUAAUACACUUGCUAAAAGUCUAUCAUUUACCAAGAAUAGGAUAUAGUCUUGGUGAUUACAAGAAUGUUUCUUCGACAUUAAUAACUUCCUUGGCAGAUGUUAAAAUAUGGCGAUAUUUCCUUUAGAUCAAUCGAUCCUUCUUUUUGAAAUUAACCUGCACCGGCCCUUGUAUGUGUUUCAUGCUUCAUGUGCUUGAGCAUAUCACUCUAGUGUUUCCAGUUCCCACCAUUAAUGUCUAUCUUGUUUCCUAUUAUAUAACAACUACAAAAGAAAAAUUAUCUACAUCUAAAGGACUUUGCAUGUCAAGAAGAUACUCAAUCAUACACAAAAUUGUUAACGAAGUUUGAACAAUUUAAAAGAAAAUGUAACAAAAACGAAAAUGAAUUGAGGAAAACAUCUAGCUCGUAGGCCCACAGUUUUAAUUGCAUAUGUAUGUUACCCACGACGUAAACUUCUAUGGCUGAAGGAGUAUUUUUUUUACCAGAACUAUGGCUAAAGGUUAACGUGGGUAUGUGGCAAUUUUCUAGCAGAGCUUGUAUUAUUGCAUUAUCGUAGAACUACUAAUUUUUACUCCAAACACUCGGACAUUUUAUUGACGAGAAUUAAAAUUAGAGGUGGGAAGUUCCCGCGAGAAUGCAUAGUUUAGCUGGCAGGGACAAUACAUUAUUAUUAUAUAUAGAGAUUGAGGUUUGAAUCCCGAACACUCCACUUAUUCAUCUUAAAAAUGAAUUCUAACCAACUACAUCAAAACAACUCAAAUGACAAAGAAUGCAAGCCGUUUGCUAAUAAGUCUUAAAAUUUAUCUUUUUUUUUAAGUAAGUCUUAAAAUUUGAGCUACAACCAUUGAAAAUAAUUUAUAGCUAACAUUACUAUAUAGCGAUGAGGCUAAAUCGUUUCACUUUGAAACGAGCUUCAGCCUUAAGAUGAGAGCGGUUAGGGUUAUGUUUAUGUCAUUGAUCUUUUCCAGAUUUGAGAAACACCCCCGAGCCAAAUUUCAAGUAGGAAAAUCCAAAGUGUUAAAGUUGCUUUUGAAUAAAAUAGAUGAAAUCAUUUGGGCAUGGAGACUUAUAAAUUACCCAUAGUUCAACAAAAGCAACCUGAACCUCAAUGAGGUUACCUCAUUAUCCGUCACCGAUCAUCAACAUAGUUCUAUCAUGCUGAAUAUGCUAAGAUAAUUAUUAUUGGUCCCUUAGUAAAUGGAAACAAACUUUUUUUAAUCACCCUCUUCAUAAAUCUAAGAAUCCUUGGCUCUGUUCGGUAAAAAUAAGCUAUAAGCUAGCUGAUAGCUGAUAAGUUAGCUGAUAGCUGAUGAGUGAUAACUGAUAGCUGAUAGCUGAAAAGCUUGCUUAAUAAAAAUAAUGUGUUUGGUAAAAUUAGUUGUUGAAGUGGCUGAUAAAUAUAAAAUGACAUUUUUUUUUUUAAUAUACAUAUAAACACACAUUUUUUUGUAAUGUAUUUAUUUUUUAAUAUUUUUAAUUAUAGUUAAAUAUGUUUUUGGUCCCUAUAAAUAUUCAAAUUUUUGGUCUUAGUCUCCAUAAAAAAAUUCUUCGACCUUUAGUCCUAAAAAAAAAAUCACUGACAAUUUUGAUCUCUGCUUUAUGUAUCCCAAAAUUAAGAGAAAGGUGGAAACAAAAAGUGAGUUAGAAUAUAUAAAAUUUUACAACGUACAAAAGACUAGUUAUUUUUUCCUUUAAAAAAAAUAGGCUAGUUAUUUUUUUUGUGGUGUACGGCAGGUUAGUUAUAGCAAAAUAUAAAGCAUUUCCUUAAAAUAUAUAUAUAUAUAUAUAUAUAUAUAUAUAUAUAUAUAUAUAUAUAUAUAUAUAAAGUGCUCCUUAAAAAAAAAACUAUGUUGCAUUUUUUUUAAGGGAAAAAAUGGGGCGGUUAUAAAGAUGAACAUGAGUAGUUGUUUAAUUAAAAAAAUAAUUAAUUUAAAUUAAUAGGGUUAAAGUUGGAAGAAAAUAUAAAAAGCUACCAGCUAUAAGCUAAAAAGCUACUUGAAAUAGCUUUUCAAAAAACGCUAUAAGCUCAUGAAAAAAGCUUGUUACCAAACACGUCACGUUUUCAUCUAACGAGCUUAUAAGAUAAUCCAACAAACUAUAAGUUAACUUUUUUGUGUUACCAAACAUAACCCUUCUGUUUUUGGAGAGUAACAAUCCUAUUGUAACGUUUUUACUUGAGCGUUAAGAGAUGGAAGAACAGGGUAUUCAGAUCACCUUGGUUCCCCCUAACUUAUAGCGACACUGUCGGUAUCAGUAGUUGUCAUCAAAUUUGAUAAGCCAAGCCACCUUUAAUCCGCUCAAGUUAUUAAUCAUUCAAAGGCAUUUUCGGAAUUAAUCUUAAGCAGUUCAAGUUAGAAAUGAUUUGUUUAUUUAUGCGUUGGAGUCUAACAUGUCAAAUAUUAAAAUCACAACAUAUAAAUAAAAGCAUAAAUUUUAUUCUUAUCAAUGUUUAAUUUAAAUAUGUCUUCAAUGGCGUACCCUUCUCCCACAAAGACGCAUUUUUAGUAAUGAUGUUGAAAUCAACUUCUAUAGAUUGAGUAAACUCUGCAUUAUUUAAAAGAAAAUUUGAAACAAGAUUUUUUCAAAUUUAUGGAGUGUGCAUCACAUCCUCCUUCAGUAUUAGAGUCUUUCUGGAGAUGAACUUCAUCAUAUUAGUUUAAGUAACACAUGGAUCAAAUAAUCUUGAAACUUAAGUUGGAGUGCGCAAGCGGAUAAGGCUGGUUUUUUGUUUUGUUGCUUAAUAGCAGUUUUAGUCCCCUAACUUUUCUAAAGUUACGAUUUUGAUCCCUUAAGAAAAAGAACUACAAAACUGUCCCCUAAGUUUUGCAUAUGUGGCAGUUUUGACCCCCAAGGUCAAUUUUGACUCGGUCUACGCUCACGUGGCACCUUAAGUGAGGCGCCGCGUGUUAUUUUUCUUUACCAAAAAGUGCUAUUGGGGGGCCAAAACUGCCAGAGUUGCAAAACUUAGGGGCCGGUUUUGUAGUUUUUUUUUCUUAGGGGGCCAAUAUCGCAAAUUCGUGAAAGUUAGGGAGCGAAACUGCUAUUAAGCCUUUCUUUUAAUUGUUAGUUGGAUAAGAUUUAAACGAAACUUGUUCGUUAAGAAAAGCACUACCGGAUAAUGAUAAAAUUUAUUAAUUUAACAUUUUCGAAUGAUAAAAAAAACUUUGGCCUAAGCCCAACCCUAUGGCGUCACCGCAUAUGUGAUAUAUAUUUUCUUGAGCACUCUCGGUUCACAAAAAUGAGUAUCCAAGGCACACUCGUGAGAGUGAUUCUCCUUUUUUACUCAAAAAAAAAAAAAGAAAGAAAGAGUGAUUCUCCUUUUAAACAAACAUUAUUAAUGUGUUUCUUCUUAAAAAUUAAAAGUAAUGCACACAUUUCAAUACUUCCUCCGUCCUAAAUUAUAAGCAAAAAAAAAAAAAAUCACAUUUAUUAAGAAAACUAAAACAUAAGAAUUUGAAGUAUAAUUUUUUGUGUUUUCUUUAAAAAAAAAUUAUAGGAAGAUGUAAAAACAAUUUUCGUUGGCUAUUGGUUAUGGAAAAAGUGAAAGAGAGAGAAAAUUGAAUGUAAUUUGCGUUUAAUUUUAUGAGAAUAAACAAAAGUUUUUCUUGGGAAAAAGAUUUAAAAAAAAAGAUUAAAUAAGAUAAAAAUUUAUCUUUUUUGCUUAUAUUUUAGGACAAAGAAAAUGAGUUUUUUUGCUUAUAUUAUGAGACGGGGGGAAUAUAUGACACUUUUACCGUUUUCAAUUCACACCAUGCUAAUCCUAUCAAAUGUGAGACUUGUGUUUAUUUCAAUCUUCAUUCGUGAUUAAAUAGAAACUAACCAAUUAGAAUAUUGACAUUAGUAAGUACUCUAUGAAUACAAUAUUUAAAAGGAUACUGUUAACUUGUGCCCAUAGAGUAUAUGUUAAUAAACUUAAAAGAAGAAACUUUCUCUAAAAUUUUAUACAUUCAAUUAAUUAAAAAUUAAAAGUAAUGCACACAUUACAAUAAACUAUUUUUAUAUUUAAUUUUCCUAUUUAAAAAAGAUGCAAGAUGCACGUGAUAAGCACCAGACAAGUAUCAAUUUCAAAUCUCAAUAAUAAUCAAAGUGGAGGUGGUUUUCCUUAAAAAAAAAAAAAAAAGUAAGAGGAGGUGGUUGAAGCAAAAUUAACCCGGAUUUGCCCAGCUGUCAUUCCUAGGACGCACCUACAAUCUUAAAACCAAAAUGCUGGUCUAAUAUUAAGCAGUUAUAUUUAAAUGUUUUAAUUUUUUUACACUCAUUCAACACUUAAUUUUCAGAAUUUUUUUAUUUUUAUCUAAAAAAUUGUUUUUUGUUUAUAAGAGGGAAGAGAAAUAUAUAUUUUAAGAUAAAAGAAGAGGUAAAAGAAAAGUGUAAUUUCCUCAAAUUCUUAAUAUUAAUUUAAUAUUAAUAAUAGACACACGUGGUCACGUGCUAUCUACCAUGAUUGCUGAUUUUUUAUUUUUUUUUAGAGGAUGAUUGCUGAUCUUCUAGCUAUAAAUAGGUGAUUUAUUAGUUAUAGGAAUCAUCCACUUCCAUCGAAAUAUAAAAUCAGUGGCUUUUAAUAUCAAAGAUGAGACCUGCUCUUGCUUUAUUUCCCCUCUUGCUUUUCUUGGUAUGUUUUACUUUUCGUGGUUUCAAUUAGUAGAGUGCACUCUAAAUUCUAAUGCUUCAAAAUAAAAAAAACCUCUGAUAUUUUACAUUUAAUUGAACAAUUAUUUUCUUGUUGGAAAGUUUUUGUCUUUUCUUCCGGAUACUGAAAGUUAAUCGAUUAGUACUUCUUAGAGUAAUUUUAUGGAAAAUAUAAGUUAUUUCGUGUUUAUUUAUAUCCAUAAAAUCAUUUUUAAAUCUUCUUUAUCAUUUAUGAUUUCGUUAUAAUCACUGACGUCAAAAUUAUUGUCUGCCUUUCUGCUAUCGUAUUGCACUCAAUUGUUUGUUUAUUUCAUCUUAUUUUGUUAUUAAAUUUCAAUAAUAUAUCCCAAUCAGAUAAAGAUUUUAGGUUUAUUGAUGUGUUUAGCCCUUGCAAUUAGGCGGCAUUUAAAAAUUCGUCCCUGUAAUUGUUAAUCCUGGCAUUUUAACCCUGCAAUUGUUAAUCAUUUAAAAUUUCGUCCCUCUCCCCACUUAAUCACUGCCACGCCACAUGAAAUUCCAAAUUUACCCCUGGGUUUCCAAUUCUUUCUUCAAUAUUUUGUCCUCUUCUUAAGGGCAAAAUUGAAAUUUCAUGUGUGACAGUGAUUGCCACGUCAUCAAAUUAGUGACGUGGCAGUGAUUAAUUUGGUCCAAGGACCAAAUUUUAAACGAUUAACAAUUGCAGGGUUAAAAUGCCAGGAUUACCAAUUACAGGGACGAAUUUUUAAAUGCCGCCUAAUUGCAAGGGCUAAACACAUCAAUAAACCAAGAUUUUAUUCAUAUUGCAGUGGAAUUGCUUAUAUUAAAAUGAGAUGAGAUUUAGUUGAUUUUUUAAUUAAAAAUUUAAAUAGUAUUAUUCAAUACAAAAGAUAAACUUGUAAUUAAAAUAGUUUAACCGAAUGGUAUAAUUAGAAGAUAAAAACUCAGUCCAAAAUCUUGUACCCCCUUCACAUAGAGGUAUAGAUAGGUAUAUAUACCACAAUUAAAUAAAGAUUCAACGUGUCAUGUUUCUAUUAUAGUGAAAUUGUUCAUAUUAUACCGAGAUUUAACCAACUUUUCUAAUUAAAGGUUUAAAUAAUAUUUAAAAAAAAGUAAAAUUGUAAUAAGAAUAGUUAAUGAAGGGCACAACUGAAUGAUAAAAAGUCAUCCUAAAAUCAUAUUUCUUCUUUAUAUAUAUAUAUAUAUAUAUAUAUAUAUAUAUAUAUAUAUAUAUAUAUAUAUAUAUAUAUUGUACAACAGAAACUUGUGUUUAAAAUAAUUUUCAUUAUAAUAAGAUUUUACAUUUUUUUAAAUGUAAUUUAUUUCUUUGCUAAAAAAGUUAUUUAUUUCUCAUUAUUAACAAACUGCCAAGAUUGUGUGACACAAAUAAUAAAUAUUUUGGUCCCUUGACCAUUAGGUCCAUUGCACGGAAGAUGCCUUUUUUGAUUUACCAAAAAAUGAUUAGCAAGCUCGUUGGAAAUCCUUAAAUAUAAUUAUUUUAUAAAAAAAUCUCAAAUUAAAAAGUUCUUAUUUGAGCUAAUUAGCCAUACUUAUACGACUCACAUUGGUUAUUCACUUGAGUGAGUGUUUUUUUUCUGCAAAACAUUCAAGUGAGUGUUGGGGACCUGACCAAUAGCAAAAUAAAAAUAAAAAAACACAUAAAUAUUAUAUAAAUAUGACAUUGAUUAAUGUAAUCUUAUAAUUGAUAUUUACUAAUUCUAUUUAAAAGUUUAUUAUGUUCCAUUUAUUUCUCUUAAAAUCGCAAGCUCUCCCCCAAAAAACAUCUCCUCCACUUAAGAUCAAUCCACCUAAAUUUCUCUCCGAGAGUCAUUUUAAUCACUUUUACUUCUUAUUGAAUAGAAACCUAAAACAUCAUGAGAAAACAAAUUCUUAAAAGAAUAUCUCAAUUAAUGAUUAUUUUAAAAAUAUGUAGAUCAACCAUCUCUAAUAUUCUUGAAGUUAUUAUCGGAUAAAGAACAAUAGAUUCUGGUUGACAUGUUCCCGAUAAGAAGAUCUACUCUCAUCAGUUUGAGAAAAUGGGGCAUUCUUAAGGAACAUAAAACAAUUAUCAAUGAUUUUCCAAAUUUUAGGAUCAAUUUAUUAGGAUACAAGUUAAUAUGGUGGCUUUGCUGCUUAGAAAAGGCUUCCACAUUUUAUCUCAACUCCAACACUGCUUACGAUGUUCAAUAUGAUCUCCCUAUCCUUAAAAAAAAGAAUAUAAUAAAUAAUUAUGAGUGUUUUUUCCUUUUCGGUUAGGGAAUAAAUUUCUCUUUUAAACGAUUCUAUAUUAAAAAAGAGAGCUAUACAACUGCACAUAUAGACCAUUAUUUUUUCAUAUAUCUUAUUAAUUUCUUAUUUUGCGAUAAAGUUUGUAGCAAUUGUAGAAACAAGAAAAGAUUUGGGACAAUAUCGAAAACUAGUCAUGAAAGAUGAAGACAUGCGAAAAGAAAUUCAAGGGCUUCUUUACACCGAGACGAAAAAGAAUCUCAAGACUCCAAAGCAGUGUUUCAAAGGUUUUAAACAUGAUUGUGAAGAGCCAUUUGUAAUAGACACACAAGUCACCAUAGAAAAUGACAUCAUCCGUGCUAAGAGAAAGAAGGGAGUCACUAAAAAUUUUGAACCAAGACCAAAUGUUUCAAAAUAUGAAGAUAAUGACAUUAAUGCUGAGGAAAAGAAGAGAGUCGUCAAAGACUUUGAACCAAGACCUAAUGUUUCAGCUUAUGGAGCAAAUGAAAUUGAUGCUAAGGAUAAGAAGGGAGUUAUUGAUGAUUUUGAACCAAGACCCAAUGUUUCAGCUUAUGGAGACAAUGACGUUGAAGCUAAGAAAAAGAAGGGAAUCACUGAAGAUUUUGAACCAAGAUACAAUGUUUCAGCAUAUGGAGACAAUGGUGUAGAAGUUAAGGGAAAGAAGAAAGUCGUUAAAGAUUUCAAACCAAGACCAAAUGUUUCAGCUUAUGGAGACAAUGGUAUUGAUGUUAAGGAAAAUAAAGGAGCCAAUACGGAUUUUGAACCAAGACCAAAUUACGUUUCAGCAUAUGGAGACAAUAAUAUUGAUGUUACAGAAAAUAAAGGAGCCAAUAAAGAUUUUGAACCAAGACCCAAUGUUUCUGCUUAUGGAGAUAGUGAUAUUGAUGUUAAGGAAAAUAAAGGAGUCAGUAAAGAUUUUGAACCAAGACCCAACGUUUCAACAUAUGGAAACAAUGAUAUCGAUGUUACAGAAAAUAAAGAAGUCAAUAAAGCUUUUGAACCAAGAGCCAACGUUUCAGCGUAUAAAAACAAUGACAUUGAUGUUAUGAAAAAGAAGAACGUUACCAAAGAUUUUGA
RNAcentral lists this long non-coding RNA (10299 nucleotides) under Medicago truncatula (barrel medic). RNAcentral describes it as "long non-coding RNA (MTRU_LNC001332)". Lineage: Eukaryota; Viridiplantae; Streptophyta; Magnoliopsida; Fabales; Fabaceae. The record is from RNAcentral.